GACGAACCGUGCGAACGUUGUUCGGAAUCACUGGGCUUAAAGGGCGUGUAGGCGGACCGGCGAGUCAGGGGUGAAAGCCCGCGGCCCAACCGCGGAAGUGCCCCUGAUACCGCCGGCCUUGAGGGGGAUAGGGGCGUGCGGAACUUCGGGUGGAGCGGUGAAAUGCGUAGAUAUCCGAAGGAACACCGGUGGCGAAGGCGGCACGCUGGGUCCCUACUGACGCUGAGGCGCGAAAGCCAGGGGAGCGAACGGG
RNAcentral lists this ribosomal RNA (253 nucleotides) under uncultured bacterium. RNAcentral describes it as "partial 16S ribosomal RNA". It matches the Rfam family "Bacterial small subunit ribosomal RNA", at positions 524 to 776 of the family's 1533-position model. The record is from RNAcentral.